Non-coding RNA from Cricetulus griseus (Chinese hamster), 1117 nucleotides. The record is from RefSeq and is a predicted model, not a curated record. NCBI's taxonomy places the organism in Eukaryota, Metazoa, Chordata, Mammalia, Rodentia, Cricetidae.
UGCGCAGCGCGGCCGCGCAGGUGGCGGGCGCAGGCGCAGAGCUCAGCGCGCGUUGGGAGGCUGUGUCUGAACAGCUGCUGUCACUUCGGUGAGGCCGCCACAUGUCAGCGCAAGGGUGUGCCUGUGGAACUGGGUGCCCUUGGAGGCCUGAAGAGGACAGCUGAUCAUGUUGGAGCUGGAAUUGUAUGCUCCCCGAUGUGGGUGCCGGUAACUGAACUUAGGUCCUCAGCAAGAACAGUACAGUGGUGUAGGCUAAACCAUCUCUCCAACCUCUGCAACUAAGUCUGUGUCCUUCAUAGAGGUUGGGUCACGGCAAACCACUUUCUGCCUGGAGUGCUGUCUCUGCCGUGUACCCUCUGUAGGAAGUCUCAUGUCUACUCUAGAGUCUCCUUGACCUAGGUCAGGAUCACCUGUCCUGCACCCAAGAUAACACUACAAGAAGGAAUGAUGGCAAUAUAUUGCUGGACAAGAGAGAGCCAUAAAUCGAUGGAUUUAGCAGAGUUCCUUUGGUGGGAAUGUCAGCCAAAACUGAGUGUGGCUGGAUGAAAGAUGUGGCCUUUGGAAAGGUGAAAGAAGGCAUGAGCAUCAUGGAAGCCAUCCAGCAUUUUGGGUCCAGGAAUGGCAAGUCCAGUAAGAAGAUAACCAUUUCCAACUGUGGACAACUCUAAUUCUUUUGACUUUCAGGCAUCUUACACACCAGACCACUCUUUCUGUAGCACAGGAGAGUCCCCCACACUAUCUGCUUGAAAUACCCGGUGAUCUCCACUCUCAUUGAAGUUCUUUGGGUUCCCCUCCAAGCCUAUCUGGUUUGCAGAGUGAAGUUUAUGAUUAUGAAUAAAAACUAAAAAGGAAAAAAGGGAAAUAAAGGCUAGUAAAUGGCUACAAAAAGGCCCAAGAUGCCCCAAGGUAAUUUUAUCUUGGAAUCUAUAACAUUUGAUCUCUCACACCAUGUUCUAGUCAAGCAAUGGCAGAACUUUCAGUAUAGACAGAAAUUUAAGGGAUUUCAGCUCACAAUCCCUUGAUUGUAAGGUGCUGUCUGUGCAGGUGAACUUGCAAAACUCCUGAUUUCACAUCUGUGCUGAGUUAUUUGCCAUUAAAUAGUCCAGUUGUUCACAGA